GGGAUUGCCCUAGUAACGGCGAGUGAAGCGGCAACAGCUCAAAUUUGAAAUCUGGCUCUUUCAGAGUCCGAGUUGUAAUUUGCAGAGGGCGCUUUGGCUUUGGCAGCGGUCCAAGUUCCUUGGAACAGGACGUCACAGAGGGUGAGAAUCCCGUACGUGGUCGCUAGCUAUUGCCGUGUAAAGCCCCUUCGACGAGUCGAGUUGUUUGGGAAUGCAGCUCUAAAUGGGAGGUAAAUUUCUUCUAAAGCUAAAUAUUGGCCAGAGACCGAUAGCGCACAAGUAGAGUGAUCGAAAGAUGAAAAGCACUUUGGAAAGAGAGUCAAACAGCACGUGAAAUUGUUGAAAGGGAAGCGCUUGCAGCCAGACUUGCUUGCAGUUGCUCAUCCGGGCUUUUGCCCGGUGCACUCUUCUGCAGGCAGGCCAGCAUCAGUUUGGGCGGUGGGAUAAAGGUCUCUGUCACGUACCUCUCUUCGGGGAGGCCUUAUAGGGGAGGCGACAUACCACCAGCCUGGACUGAGGUCCGCGCAUCUGCUAGGAUGCUGGCGUAAUGGCUGUAAGCGGCCCGUCUUGAAACACGGACCAAGGAGUCUAACAUCUAUGCGAGUGUUUGGGUGUCAAGCCCGAGCGCGUAAUGAAAGUGAACGGAGGUGGGAACCCGCAAGGGCGCACCAUCGACCGAUCCUGAAGUUUACGGAAGGAUUUGAGUAAGAGCAUGGCUGUUGGGACCCGAAAGAUGGUGAACUAUGCUUGAAUAGGGUGAAGCCAGAGGAAACUCUGGUGGAGGCUCGCAGCGGUUCUGACGUGCAAAUCGAUCGUCAAAUUUGGGCAUAGGGGCGAAAGACUAAUC
Molecule: ribosomal RNA, 847 nt
Filed under: Curvularia oryzae
Lineage: Eukaryota; Fungi; Ascomycota; Dothideomycetes; Pleosporales; Pleosporaceae
Description: eukaryotic LSU rRNA
Rfam family: Eukaryotic large subunit ribosomal RNA
Source: RNAcentral